RNAcentral lists this unclassified non-coding RNA (280 nucleotides) under uncultured Agaricales. RNAcentral describes it as "sequence contains 5.8S rRNA gene, ITS2, 28S rRNA gene". The record is from RNAcentral. Lineage: Eukaryota; Fungi; Basidiomycota; Agaricomycetes; Agaricales.
AACGCAUCUUGCGCUCCUUGGUAUUCCAAGAAGCAUGCCUGUUUGAGUGUCAUCACAAAAGUCAAGCCAUGUCUGAAAGGAACAUGGCUUUGGAUAUGGGGUUACUUGCAGGCCCUUUGAAAAGAAGUCUGCUACCCUCAAAUGUAUUAGUGGCUACCCAACUACUAAAGGUGUAAUAAUUAUCUAUGCCUUUGUAGUGUUUUGUGUUUAAGCUGCUUCUAAUAAAGUACAAAAUGAUUUGAUAGGCCUCAAAUCAGGUAGGACUACCCGCUGAACUUAA